Molecule: ribosomal RNA, 422 nt
Filed under: Laparocerus gerodes
Lineage: Eukaryota; Metazoa; Arthropoda; Insecta; Coleoptera; Curculionidae
Description: partial 16S ribosomal RNA
Source: RNAcentral
GGUAUUUUGACCGUGCAAAGGUAGCAUAAUCAUUAGUUUUUUAAUUGAAAGCUGGAAUGAAAGGUUGGAUGAGAAAUAAGCUGUCUCUAUUUAAUUUUAUUAGAAUUUUAUUUUUAAGUAAAAAAGCUUAAAUUUUAAUAGAAGACGAGAAGACCCUAUAGAGUUUUAUUUAUUUUUUAAAUAAAAUUAGUAGUAUUGAUUAUUUUUGUUUAAAUGAUAAAUUUAGUUGGGGUGAUUGAAAAAUUUAAUAAACUUUUUUUAUAUAAAUACAUUGAUAUAUGAUUAAUUGAUCCUUAAUUUAAGAUUAAAAGAUAAAAUUACCUUAGGGAUAACAGCGUAAUUUUUUUUGAGAGUUCAAAUCGAAAAAAAAGAUUGCGACCUCGAUGUUGGAUUAAAAUAAAAUUUUGGUGUAGAAGCUAAAA